UUAAGCUUCAAAAUGCACACAAAAAAGUUCAGUCAUGGCCUGGGUCGACCUUCACGAGCCAAAGGCCCAGUACGGGUCGAGAAAGCACAUUCUUGCUGCCCAAAUGGCUUCGCUACAGCGAUCGGCCUCUGGUCAUAAAAUACUUCCUGAGCGAUGAGAGUUAUCAUAGGCCGUAUAAAAUUAGGAUUUAAUCAAGUCGCAAUAUAGGUAAAAAAAUUCAGCAGAGAGCGCUAUCUGAGACGCCUGUAUGAUGCCAGCUUCUCCUAGUCGUCAACUGUGGGGGAAAUUAAUGGAUUUCGAUAAUCUAUCUACCUUCCUUUGCGGCCCUCUGUCAGCUACGAACGCAAACGCAACGCUCUGGCUAUUUGGACAAGAAACGCUAGUUGCAAAUUUAAGAAAGCUAAAACAGCAGCUUGGUGCAUUAAGGUUACACGGGUCUCUCAGACUUCAAUAGGCAAUGAGUUCGGACGAACUCCGCGUCAGGACUGUGUGGAAGAGAUACGUCACCUAUCGAUCGGCCUGUUCUCCAGCUCGCUACUACGUCGCCUAUUUUUUCAUGGUAAAGGAAGUGUCGUUUUAUUGAGUGCUGCCGCAAACGGGCAAAUCGAAAGAGUUCAAUCUCGUCACAUUAAGAUCGAAUAAUGCUAAUGAUUAGAUCGGGGUAGCGAAGGGGGGUGUAGGAUGUUUG
Long non-coding RNA from Varroa destructor (honeybee mite), 688 nucleotides. RefSeq lists it as uncharacterized. NCBI's taxonomy places the organism in Eukaryota, Metazoa, Arthropoda, Arachnida, Mesostigmata, Varroidae. The record is from RefSeq and is a predicted model, not a curated record.